AUUCUCCAAGAUAAAGCGAUUCGAGCGGGAACAUCAUGAAUAGUUUAACGCUUAAAAUUUUACUGAUAGUUGGUGCAUUCCUUACACUAUUAUACCCCACCAAUGGAUGUUACGAGCUAGGUUGCGGUCGAAACGGUGUCCAACCGGCA
Molecule: long non-coding RNA, 149 nt
Organism: Drosophila arizonae
Lineage: Eukaryota; Metazoa; Arthropoda; Insecta; Diptera; Drosophilidae
Source: RefSeq, a predicted model, not a curated record